CUUCCAUCAUAUCUGAUCUUGUGAUGUUUGGAGUUUAUUUGAUCAAUGAUCCUGUGAAAAAACUUACCAGUCUAAUUCUUUUUGAGGGCAUUUCAGCAACAAACGAAGAUGCACGUUUUCCCCCAGAAUUUGACUUCCUGGACACCACUGUCUCUCCAAUUAUAACACUGUUUAUACCAGUUCUAUAGGAAUUGUCGCUGAUCCUGGAAAAAGGAAACCAGUGUACUAGUAUGCUCC
This is a long non-coding RNA of Saccostrea echinata, 237 nucleotides long. RefSeq lists it as uncharacterized. The transcript has 3 exons. NCBI's taxonomy places the organism in Eukaryota, Metazoa, Mollusca, Bivalvia, Ostreida, Ostreidae. The record is from RefSeq and is a predicted model, not a curated record.